RNAcentral lists this ribosomal RNA (497 nucleotides) under uncultured bacterium. RNAcentral's name for it is "partial 16S ribosomal RNA". It matches the Rfam family "Bacterial small subunit ribosomal RNA", at positions 28 to 507 of the family's 1533-position model. The record is from RNAcentral.
GAUGAACGCUGGCGGCGUGCCUAAUACAUGCAAGUAGAACGCUGAAGGAAGGGGCUUGCUCUUUCCGGAUGAGUUGCGAACGGGUGAGUAACGCGUAGGUAACCUGCCUGGUAGCGGGGGAUAACUAUUGGAAACGAUAGCUAAUACCGCAUAACAGUAGAUGUUGCAUGAUAUCUACUUAAAAGGUGCAAUUGCACCACUACCAGAUGGACCUGCGUUGUAUUAGCUAGUUGGUGAGGUAACGGCUCACCAAGGCGACGAUACAUAGCCGACCUGAGAGGGUGAUCGGCCACACUGGGACUGAGACACGGCCCAGACUCCUACGGGAGGCAGCAGUAGGGAAUCUUCGGCAAUGGACGGAAGUCUGACCGAGCAACGCCGCGUGAGUGGAGAAGGGUUUCGGAUCGUAAAGCUCGGUUGUAAGAGAAGAACGAGUGUGAGAGUGGAAAGUUCACACUGUGACGGUAUCUUACCAGAAAGGGACGGCUAACUACGUG